AGAAUCAACGCUGGCGGCGUGCCUAACACAUGCAAGUCGAACGAGAAAGUGGGGCAAUCCAUGAGUAAAGUGGCGCACGGGUGAGUAACACGUGACUAACCUACCCUUGAGUGGGGAAUAACUUCGGGAAACCGAGGCUAAUACCGCAUAACACCUACGGGUCAAAGGAGCAAUUCGCUUAAGGAGGGGGUCGCGGCAGAUUAGUUAGUUGGCGGGGUAAUGGCCCACCAAGACGGUGAUCUGUA
This 245-nucleotide ribosomal RNA is filed under the name uncultured bacterium. RNAcentral's name for it is "partial small subunit ribosomal RNA". It matches the Rfam family "Bacterial small subunit ribosomal RNA", at positions 26 to 285 of the family's 1533-position model. The record is from RNAcentral.